This 279-nucleotide ribosomal RNA is filed under the name uncultured bacterium. Its description in RNAcentral is "partial 16S ribosomal RNA". It matches the Rfam family "Bacterial small subunit ribosomal RNA", at positions 506 to 784 of the family's 1533-position model. The record is from RNAcentral.
UGCCAGCCGCCGCGGUAAUACGGAGGGUCCAAGCGUUGUCCGGAAUCACUGGGUGUAAAGGGUGCGCAGGCGGGCUUGUAAGUCAGAGGUGAAAUCCCCCGGCCUAACCGGGGAACUGCCUUUGAUACUGCAAGUCUUGAGUCUUGGAGAGGUUGCCAGAAUUCGUGGUGUAGCGGUGAAAUGCGUAGAUAUCACGAGGAAUACCGGAAGCGUAGGCGGGCAACUGGACAAGUACUGACGCUGAGGCACGAAAGCGUGGGGAGCGAACAGGAUUAGAUA